UAGGGAAUCUUCGGCAAUGGACGAAAGUCUGACCGAGCAACGCCGCGUGAGUGAAGAAGGUUUUCGGAUCGUAAAACUCUGUUGUUAGAGAAGAACAAGGACGUUAGUAACUGAACGUCCCCUGACGGUAUCUAACCAGAAAGCCACGGCUAACUACGUGCCAGCAGCCGCGGUAAUACGUAGGUGGCAAGCGUUGUCCGGAUUUAUUGGGCGUAAAGCGAGCGCAGGCGGUUUCUUAAGUCUGAUGUGAAAGCGCCCGGCUCAACCGGGGAGGGUCAAUGGAAACUGGGAGUCUUGAGUGCAGAAGAGGAGAGUGGAAUUCCAGGAGUAGCGGUGAUAUACGUAGAUAUAUGGAGGAAAACCAGUGGCGAAGGCGGCUCUCUGGUCUGUAACUGACGCUGAGGCUCGAAAGCGUGGGGAGCAAACAGG
This 429-nucleotide ribosomal RNA is filed under the name Gemmatimonadota bacterium. RNAcentral describes it as "Gemmatimonadetes bacterium partial 16S ribosomal RNA". It matches the Rfam family "Bacterial small subunit ribosomal RNA", at positions 355 to 776 of the family's 1533-position model. Lineage: Bacteria; Pseudomonadati; Gemmatimonadota. The record is from RNAcentral.